AGAGCAGCGUGAGCGUGGCUGGCCUGGCAGGUCCCACCCUGGCCCUCUGGGGAGGCAGCCCUGGGGCGAGCCAGCCCCACCGUGCACACAUUGUGAGCACCCAGGCACCUCUGCUUCCGUGAGGGGCACAGUGCGGUUGGAGACGGCUGGAGCAGGGGGAGGGGCGUUUCCAGCCCCCACCCUCCAAAGCUUUGGUCCACUUAGCGGGCACAGCUAAGCCCCUGCCGGGCUUUUCUCAGGCAGCCACAGCACAGGAUGACCAGGACCUUACAGAGGAGCCUUAAGGGCAAAGAUGGAGGUGGAAGGUGACCCCUGCAGCCUGAGGCUUUUAGGGCCUUUCUGCUCCUCCUAACCCAAAGAUGCCCAGCAAAGACAAAUGAAGCCCACCCAAGACCCCGAGCGCGACCACUCUGUGGAGAGCCACCCGGCCUCCGAGGGCAGGGCCAAGCACCCCAGAUGGGCAGUGACCCCUCCCUCACGAGGGUGGGCAGGAGAGAGCGCCUGUCCAGUGAAGGCGGCCAGGCAGGCCCACGGGUGAGCGGACGUCCGUGCUGUGCGCGUGGACAUGUCCUGUCUACGUGAGGAGGCUGGAUUCUCGGGGCUGGGCCGUGUGGGGUUGGGAGGGCUGCCCGCCUCCC
RNAcentral lists this long non-coding RNA (638 nucleotides) under Homo sapiens (human). RNAcentral describes it as "HSALNT0360969". The record is from RNAcentral. Lineage: Eukaryota; Metazoa; Chordata; Mammalia; Primates; Hominidae.